Molecule: small nucleolar RNA, 87 nt
Organism: Beta vulgaris subsp. vulgaris (sugar beet)
Lineage: Eukaryota; Viridiplantae; Streptophyta; Magnoliopsida; Caryophyllales; Amaranthaceae
Rfam family: Small nucleolar RNA SNORD25
About the family: U25 is a member of the C/D class of snoRNA which contain the C (UGAUGA) and D (CUGA) box motifs.
Source: Rfam
AGUAGCAGUGAUGAGUCAAUACAGACCUGUAAUGAUUUGCGGAUAUGAUCGCAAUUCAUUAAUGAACAUCUAAGGGACUGAGCUCUU